AAAUAGAAAAAACCCAGAAGAAAUGAGUUACAACACAGAUGCAGAGGAAUCAGAUUCAUCGAUGAGUUCCGCUCUUUCUUCCGACGAAAUCGAUUCGGAUUCCUCAAGCUUAGAGUCUGAUUUGAGCUCAGAAUGUGAAACUGUUCAAAAUCAACAAUCUCACCAUGAUUCAUCAGGAAACAGACCAAUAAACAGAAAACGUAA
Long non-coding RNA from Magallana angulata, 204 nucleotides. RefSeq lists it as uncharacterized. The transcript is spliced from 3 exons. Lineage: Eukaryota; Metazoa; Mollusca; Bivalvia; Ostreida; Ostreidae. The record is from RefSeq and is a predicted model, not a curated record.